Molecule: small nuclear RNA, 184 nt
Organism: Physeter macrocephalus (sperm whale)
Lineage: Eukaryota; Metazoa; Chordata; Mammalia; Artiodactyla; Physeteridae
Gene: U2
Rfam family: U2 spliceosomal RNA
About the family: U2 is a small nuclear RNA (snRNA) component of the spliceosome (involved in pre-mRNA splicing). Complementary binding between U2 snRNA (in an area lying towards the 5' end but 3' to hairpin I) and the branchpoint sequence (BPS) of the intron results the bulging out of an unpaired adenosine, on the BPS, which initiates a nucleophilic attack at the intronic 5' splice site, thus starting the first of two transesterification reactions that mediate splicing.
Source: Ensembl
AUUGCUUCUUGGCCUUUUGGCUAAGAUCAAAUGUAGUAUAUAUUUAUGUCAAUUUAAUAUCUGAUACAUCCUCUACUCAAGGACAAUAUAGCAACUGGAUUUUUGGAGCAGGGAGUUGGAAUAGGAGCUUGCUCCGUUCACUCCAAAAAAAAAAAAAAAAAAAGAGAGAACUUUUGUACUUAAA